UUUUUAUUUAAAACUGAAUUAGAUGGAGCCUCAAAAAUAAUCCGCCGCGUUCACUCUCAAUUCAAGCGCGCAGCCACAUUCUCUCUGGCCUUCACCUCCUCCGUCCUCAGCCACAUUCCCUCUUUCCACAUUCUCUCUCGACGUUGCCCCUUCCGCUCACUUCCUCCGCCCCAAUCGCUACCUCACCGCUCUCAAGCACGAUUGCGCUUGCCUCGACGAUUCCGUCAUCGUCUCUGUGCAGCCGUCGUGUUCUCUCUCAUCCUUGCGUGCAACCUCUCAGCCACGGCCCUCCGAGACCGGAGAAACAACGGAGAACGUUAUCCUUGCGUUUCGUCUUGCGGAGGGUAACAGACAUGCAAAUGUGUUAAGUCCGGAACUUGUCACCUCGCUGAAAGACGAAUUCUAUAUAUUGGAAUGCUCAUACCUUUGCCCUCACUGAAUCAGGGAAGCUGUAUGCAUUUGGAGCUGGAGAUAAAGGACAACUGAGAAUUGAGCUUGUAGCUAACCAAACUGAAAGGGGAAAUCCAGAAAGGGUUGAAAUUGAUCUCGGUUAAUUGUUCGUGCCUUAAUUCUUUGCUUGUCAUCUAAUUUAUGGUCAUGCAUAGCAUUUAGUAUUUAAAUUCCUUGUCUAUUUUGUAAAUAUAAUCAAAGAAUGCAUCCCGAAGGUCCAAGGUAGGUAAAAGCUAACAAGGGUCUUACUACUGUGGUUGUUGAUAUCAUCACUCUUAGGCUUCAUCUGGUUGUUGAUAGUUGAUACAUUGGUGAAGGUUCAUUUAUAGUUUAGUUGAAACAUUUUGUUAAAUUUAGCAUUCAUUUAUCAUCAAAAUCAUCAUUGUU
Molecule: RNA transcript, 837 nt
Organism: Cajanus cajan (pigeon pea)
Lineage: Eukaryota; Viridiplantae; Streptophyta; Magnoliopsida; Fabales; Fabaceae
Gene name: protein NRT1/ PTR FAMILY 4.6
Source: RefSeq, a predicted model, not a curated record